AUGGCUCAUUAAAUCAGUUAUCGUUUAUUUGAUAGUACCUUACCACUUGGAUAACCGUGGUAAUUCUAGAGCUAAUACAUGCUAAAAACCCCGACUUCGGAAGGGGUGUGUUUAUUAGAUAAAAAACCAAUGCCCUUCGGGGCUCUUUGGUGAUUCAUGAUAACCUAACGGAUCGCAUGGCCUUGCGCCGGCGACGGUUCAUUCAAAUUUCUGCCCUAUCAACUUUCGAUGGUAAGGUAUUGGCUUACCAUGGUUUCAACGGGUAACGGGGAAUUAGGGUUCGAUUCCGGAGAGGGAGCCUGAGAAACGGCUACCACAUCCAAGGAAGGCAGCAGGCGCGCAAAUUACCCAAUCCCGACACGGGGAGGUAGUGACAAUAAAUACUGAUAUAGGGCUCUUUUGGGUCUUGUAAUUGGAAUGAGUACAAUUUAAACCCCUUAACGAGGAACAAUUGGAGGGCAAGUCUGGUGCCAGCAGCCGCGGUAAUUCCAGCUCCAAUAGCGUAUAUUAAAGUUGUUGCAGUUAAAAAGCUCGUAGUUGAAACUUGGGUCUGGCUAGCGGGUCCGCCUCACCGCGUGCACUUGUCCGGCUGGACCUUUCCUUCUGGAGAACCUCAUGCCCUUCACUGGGUGUGUUGGGGAACCAGGACUUUUACUUUGAAAAAAUUAGAGUGUUCAAAGCAGGCCUUUGCUCGAAUACGUUAGCAUGGAAUAAUAGAAUAGGACGUGCGGUCCUAUUUUGUUGGUUUCUAGGAUCGCCGUAAUGAUUAAUAGGGAUAGUCGGGGGCAUCAGUAUUCAAUUGUCAGAGGUGAAAUUCUUGGAUUUAUUGAAGACUAACUACUGCGAAAGCAUUUGCCAAGGAUGUUUUCAUUAAUCAGUGAACGAAAGUUAGGGGAUCGAAGACGAUCAGAUACCGUCGUAGUCUUAACCGUAAACUAUGCCGACUAGGGAUCGGGCGAUGUUUCUAUCUUGACUCGCUCGGCACCU
RNAcentral lists this ribosomal RNA (987 nucleotides) under Melanomma pulvis-pyrius. RNAcentral's name for it is "SSU rRNA". It matches the Rfam family "Eukaryotic small subunit ribosomal RNA", at positions 93 to 1088 of the family's 1831-position model. Lineage: Eukaryota; Fungi; Ascomycota; Dothideomycetes; Pleosporales; Melanommataceae. The record is from RNAcentral.